This 497-nucleotide ribosomal RNA is filed under the name uncultured bacterium. Its description in RNAcentral is "partial 16S ribosomal RNA". It matches the Rfam family "Bacterial small subunit ribosomal RNA", at positions 28 to 507 of the family's 1533-position model. The record is from RNAcentral.
GAUGAACGCUGGCGGCGUACCUAAUACAUGCAAGUCGAGCGAACAGACGAGGAGCUUGCUCCUCUGACGUUAGCGGCGGACGGGUGAGUAACACGUGGAUAACCUACCUAUAAGACUGGGAUAACUUCGGGAAACCGGAGCUAAUACCGGAUAAUAUAUUGAACCGCAUGGUUCAAUAGUGAAAGACGGUUUUGCUGUCACUUAUAGAUGGAUCCGCGCCGCAUUAGCUAGUUGGUAAGGUAACGGCUUACCAAGGCAACGAUGCGUAGCCGACCUGAGAGGGUGAUCGGCCACACUGGAACUGAGACCCGGUCCAGACUCCUACGGUAGGCAGCAGUAGGGAAUCUUCCGCAACGGGCGAAAGCUUGACGGAGCAACGCCGCGUGAGUGAUGAAGGUCUUCGGAUCGUAAAACUCUGUUAUUAGGGAAGAACAAAUGUGUAAGUAACUAUGCACGUCUUGACGGUACCUAAUCAGAAAGCCACGGCUAACUACGUG